This 497-nucleotide ribosomal RNA is filed under the name uncultured bacterium. Its description in RNAcentral is "partial 16S ribosomal RNA". It matches the Rfam family "Bacterial small subunit ribosomal RNA", at positions 28 to 507 of the family's 1533-position model. The record is from RNAcentral.
GAUGAACGCUGGCGGCGUGCCUAAUACAUGCAAGUCGAGCGAACAGACGAGGAGCUUGCUCCUCUGACGUUAGCGGCGGACGGGUGAGUAACACGUGGAUAACCUACCUAUAAGACUGGGAUAACUUCGGGAAACCGGAGCUAAUACCGGAUAAUAUAUUGAACCGCAUGGUUCAAUAGUGAAAGACGGUUUUGCUGUCACUUAUAGAUGGAUCCGCGCCGCAUUAGCUAGUUGGUAAGGUAACGGCUUACCAAGGCAACGAUGCGUAGCCGACCUGAGAGGGUGAUCGGCCACACUGGAGCUGAGACACGGUCCAGACUCCUACGGGAGGCAGCAGUAGGGAAUCUUCCGCAAUGGGCGAAAGCCUGACGGAGCAACGCCGCCUGAGUGAUGAAGGUCUUCGGAUCGUAAAACUCUGUUAUUAGGGAAGAACAAAUGUGUAAGUAACUAUGCACGUCUUGACGGUACCUAAUCAGAAAGCCACGGCUAACUACGUG